UAGGGAAUCUUCGGCAAUGGACGGAAGUCUGACCGAGCAACGCCGCGUGAGUGAAGAAGGUUUUCGGGUCGUAAAGCUCUGUUGUAAGAGAAGAACGAGUGUGAGAGUGGAAAGUUCACACUGUGACGGUAUCUUACCAGAAAGGGACGGCUAACUACGUGCCAGCAGCCGCGGUAAUACGUAGGUCCCGAGCGUUGUCCGGAUUUAUUGGGCGUAAAGCGAGCGCAGGCGGUUAGAUAAGUCUGAAGUUAAAGGCUGUGGCUUAACCAUAGUAGGCUUUGGAAACUGUUUAACUUGAGUGCAAGAGGGGAGAGUGGAAUUCCAUGUGUAGCGGCGAAAUGCGUAGAUAUAUGGAGGAACACCGGUGGCGAAAGCGGCUCUCUGGCUUGUAACUGACGCUGAGGCUCGAAAGCGUGGGGAGCAAACAGGAUUAGAUACCCUGGUAGUCCACGCUGUAAACGAUGAGUGCUAGGUGUUAGACCCUUUCCGGGGUUUAGUGCCGUAGCUAACGCAUUAAGCACUCCGCCUGGGGAGUACGACCGCAAGGUUG
RNAcentral lists this ribosomal RNA (550 nucleotides) under uncultured bacterium. RNAcentral describes it as "bacterial SSU rRNA". It matches the Rfam family "Bacterial small subunit ribosomal RNA", at positions 355 to 896 of the family's 1533-position model. The record is from RNAcentral.